GCAGUCGAGCGACUUACAAAGCUUGCUUUUGUAAGUUAGCGGCGGACGGGUGAGUAACACGUGGGCAACCUGCCUAUAAGACUGGGAUAACUUCGGGAAACCGGAGCUAAUACCGGAUAAUAUAAGGAACCUCCUGGUUCUUUAUUGAAAGAUGGUUUCGGCUAUCACUUGUAGAUGGGCCCGCGGCGCAUUAGCUAGUUGGUGAGGUAACGGCUCACCAAGGCAACGAUGCGUAGCCGACCUGAGAGGGUGAUCGGCCACACUGGGACUGAGACACGGCCCAGACUCCUACGGGAGGCAGCAGUAGGGAAUCUUCCACAAUGGACGAAAGUCUGAUGGAGCAACGCCGCGUGAGUGAUGAAGGCUUUCGGGUCGUAAAACUCUGUUGUUAGGGAAGAACAAGUGCGAGAGUAACUGCUCGCACCUUGACGGUACCUAACCAGAAAGCCACGGCUAACUACGUGCCAGCAGCCGCGGUAAUACGUAGGUGGCAAGCGUUGUCCGGAAUUAUUGGGCGUAAAGCGCGCGCAGGUGGUUCCUUAAGUCUGAUGUGAAAGCCCACGGCUCAACCGUGGAGGGUCAUUGGAAACUGGGGGACUUGAGUGCAGAAGAGGAAAGUGGAAUUCCAAGUGUAGCGGUGAAAUGCGUAGAGAUUUGGAGGAACACCAGUGGCGAAGGCGACUUUCUGGUCUGUAACUGACACU
Molecule: ribosomal RNA, 704 nt
Filed under: bacterium SL4.55
Lineage: Bacteria
Description: bacterial SSU rRNA
Rfam family: Bacterial small subunit ribosomal RNA
Source: RNAcentral